Mauremys mutica (yellowpond turtle) is the source of this 574-nucleotide long non-coding RNA. RefSeq lists it as uncharacterized. The transcript is spliced from 3 exons. NCBI's taxonomy places the organism in Eukaryota, Metazoa, Chordata, Testudines, Geoemydidae. The record is from RefSeq and is a predicted model, not a curated record.
UUGCAGAGCCGUGUUUAAGGGGGUUACUGACUGUUCCUGCAUAUUUCAACUGGCGUGAAGUGCUUGAUGGAGUCCAGCUGGGUUAUUUUGGCAAGGGUCCCUGCAGUUAUGCCAUUGGAAGGAUCAGGUUAAUAUUUAAAGAAACUGGCUAAAGAAUCUGGUUUGCUGGCUGGGGAUCCCUCCACCUUCUGAGUAUUCUAGAAAGGGGUUCCUGGGUUGGAAGCCAGCAUAGAGGAUGAGCCUGGAUUCCCCUACUACCUAUUGUGGAAGUAGCACUACUAAGGGUCAGUGAAUGGAAAGACUGUUUUGGACACUGGGUCCUGAGAGACUUUGAUACCCUGGAAGGGGAUGGCUACAAUGACAUGGCCAGAGGACCACGCCAGAAAGCAGUUGAGUCCCAAGUGAGCCAGACAAGGAGAGUGAUGGAGUGCAACUGCAGGAAGGAGUAUCAUCCUGGUGACACUUUUCCAUUUUAGACCUGAACCAAGGAGGAUGUGACAUGUUAAGGGCUAAGUCACAGAUUUAAAUAGCAGAGAUUCAGGUAGUUUAAACUACAUUAAAAAAACCCACCCAC